RNAcentral lists this ribosomal RNA (203 nucleotides) under uncultured bacterium. Its description in RNAcentral is "partial 16S ribosomal RNA". It matches the Rfam family "Bacterial small subunit ribosomal RNA", at positions 1298 to 1500 of the family's 1533-position model. The record is from RNAcentral.
UUGCAGGCUGCAACUCGCCUGCAUGAAGCUGGAAUUGCUAGUAAUCGCGGAUCAGCAUGCCGCGGUGAAUACGUUCCCGGGCCUUGUACACACCGCCCGUCACACCAUGAGAGUCGGGAACACCCGAAGUCCGUAGUCUAACCGCAAGGAGGGCGCGGCCGAAGGUGGGUCCGGUAAUUGGGGUGAAGUCGUAACAAGGUAUC